ACGGACCAAGGAGUCUAGAGUAUGCGCGAGUCAAAGGGCUUACUAAACCCCGAGGCGAAACGAAAGUGAUACAGUGGUGGUUUUUGAGCGCGUAGUGGCAGUUACUGCUACUGCGUACUUAUAUUAUCAUCGCUUAGGGCUGAUCCGGUUCGGGGGCGUUGGCGGAGGGAUUAACGUCCCUCUUCCCCAUCCCCUCGAUUUACCUUCACCCAUAAGGACGGCGCAAGCCCGGGGCUCGCCGGUAAUCUUCCCGUCGUUAAUGCUGACCGGCGUUCUUCGUCGCUCCAGGAGGAGGCGGUGCGGGCGGUUCCUCGGUUUUUCAGAAGCGAUUCUUCAGCCGGACGUGGCGGCCUUUGCGGGAUCUGACCAGUCGCGCGCUACCGGUGCGGGAUCGUGGAGGAAUUCUGAGAACGCGCGUUGCUGGGUUUCUCUCUGGCGUCGAGGGGCGUCGGCUCGCAGGCGGGGACAGGCGGCGGGUUCUCUGAGCGCAUCCUCUGGUACCCGAAAGAUGGUGAUCUAUGCCUGGCCAGGAUGAAGCCAGAGGAAACUCUGGUGGAGGUCCGUAGCGAUUCUGACGUGCAAAUCGAUCGUCGGAGCUGGGUAUAGGGGCGAAAGACCAAUCGAACCAUCUAGUA
Molecule: ribosomal RNA, 635 nt
Filed under: Burmoniscus meeusei
Lineage: Eukaryota; Metazoa; Arthropoda; Malacostraca; Isopoda; Philosciidae
Description: eukaryotic LSU rRNA
Rfam family: Eukaryotic large subunit ribosomal RNA
Source: RNAcentral